Balaenoptera musculus (blue whale) is the source of this 103-nucleotide small nucleolar RNA. NCBI's taxonomy places the organism in Eukaryota, Metazoa, Chordata, Mammalia, Artiodactyla, Balaenopteridae. The record is from Ensembl.
AUCCUUUUGUACUUCAUAAGCAUGAUGAUUGGGCGUUCACACUGUUGCGUGAGAUGUGCCUCCCUCAAACCUGUUAUGAUGUCAACAUGUGACCCAUUUGAUG